This 426-nucleotide ribosomal RNA is filed under the name uncultured fungus. Its description in RNAcentral is "bacterial SSU rRNA". The stretch from base 19 to 367 matches the Rfam family "Eukaryotic small subunit ribosomal RNA", at positions 101 to 385 of the family's 1831-position model. Lineage: Eukaryota; Fungi. The record is from RNAcentral.
UANAGCGAANCUGAAUGGUUAUAUAAGUUAUCGUUUAUUUGAUAUUACCUUACUACAUGGAUAACCGUGGUAAUUCUAGAGCUAAUACAUGCUGAAAAUCCCGACUUCGGAAGGGAUGUAUUUAUUAUAUUCAAAACCAAUGCCCUUCGGGGCUCCAAUGGUGAUUCAUGAUAACUUCUCGAAUCGCACGGCCCCGCGCCGGCGAUGGUUCAUUCAAAUUUCUUCCCUAUCAACUUUCGAUGCUACGGUAGUGUCCUAGCAUGGUUGCAACGGGUAACGGGGAAUCGUACGGUGGCUUAUAUUUGUUAUUAUAAUCUUCGGAUUUUAAUAGCAAAUAUAAGUCGGCGACGAUUCAUUCGAAUUUCUGCCCCAUCAACUCUCGAUGGUAGGAUAGANGCANCAUGGUCGCAACGGGUAACGGGGAAU